RNAcentral lists this ribosomal RNA (916 nucleotides) under uncultured marine archaeon. Its description in RNAcentral is "bacterial SSU rRNA". It matches the Rfam family "Archaeal small subunit ribosomal RNA", at positions 1 to 922 of the family's 1478-position model. The record is from RNAcentral.
UCCGGUUGAUCCUGCCGAAGGCUACUGCUAUUGGAGUUCGAUUAAGCCAUGCGAGUCUAAGGGAUACUUGUAUCCCUGGCAUAAUGCUCAGUAACACGUGGAUAAUCUGCCCUCAGGUGAGGAAUAAACCCGGGAAACUGGGGCUAAUACCUCAUAGACACAGAAAGCUGGAAUGCUUCUGUGUUCAAAGCUCCGGCGCCUGAGGAUGAGUCUGCGGCCUAUCAGGUUGUAGUCAGGGUCAUGACCUGACUAGCCAACGACGGGUACGGGGUGUGAGAGCACUUGCCCGGAGAUGGUUUCUGAGACACGAAACCAGGCCCUACGGGGCGCAGCAGGCGCGAAAACUUCGCAAUGCGGGAAACCGUGACGAGGGAACUCCAAGUGUCUAUGCAUUGCAUAGACUGUUUUUUAGCCUAAAUAGCUAAAAGAGUAAGAGGUGGGCAAGACCGGUGCCAGCCGCCGCGGUAACACCGGCACCUCGAGUGGUAGCCACUAUUAUUGGGCCUAAAGCGUUCGUAGCCGGUUUGGUAAAUUCUUGGGUAAAUCGUACAGCUUAACUGUGCGGAUUCCGGGGACACUACCAGACUUGAGACCGGGAGAGAUCAGAGGUACUUGUAGGGGAGCGGUGAAAUGUUGUAAUCCUACAGGGACCACCAGUGGCGAAGGCGUCUGAUCAUAACGGCUUUGACGGUGAGGAACGAAACCCUGGGGCGCAAACGGGAUUAGAUACCCCGGUAGUCCAGGGCGUAAACGCUGCUGACUUGGUGUUGGAGAUCCUACGAGGGUGUCCAGUGCUGGCGCGAAGGCAUUUAGUCAGCCGCCUGGGGAGUACGGUCGCAAGACUGAAACUUAAAGGAAUUGGCGGGGGAGCACUGCAACGUGUGGAGCGUGCGGUUUAAUUGGAGUCAACGCCGGA